CCAAAAAGAAACAGGAGCGCUCAUAUAGGUUCGCUGGGAAGGGUGCGAACGUCUCUACGGAGCCGCCGAAAGGCUCUGCUAUGGGUGUCUGGCCGGUGGGC
RNAcentral lists this non-coding RNA (101 nucleotides) under Oscillibacter sp. CAG:155. Its description in RNAcentral is "Purine riboswitch aptamer". It matches the Rfam family "Purine riboswitch aptamer". Rfam says of the family: Riboswitches are metabolite binding domains within certain messenger RNAs that serve as precision sensors for their corresponding targets. Allosteric rearrangement of mRNA structure is mediated by ligand binding, and this results in modulation of gene expression. A class of riboswitches that selectively recognises guanine and becomes saturated at concentrations as low as 5 nM. Lineage: Bacteria; Bacillati; Bacillota; Clostridia; Eubacteriales; Oscillospiraceae. RNAcentral also lists the same sequence under 1 other name. The record is from Rfam by way of RNAcentral.